UGCCAGCCGCCGCGGUAAUACGAGGGGUGCAAGCGUUAAUCGGAAUUACUGGGCGUAAAGCGUACGCAGGCGGUUUGUUAAGCAAGAUGUGAAAGCCCUGGGCUCAACCUAGGAACCGCAUUUUGAACUGGCAAACUAGAGUCUUGUAGAGGGGGGUAGAAUUUCAGGUGUAGCGGUGAAAUGCGUAGAGAUCUGAAGGAAUACCGGUGGCGAAGGCGGCCCCCUGGACAAAGACUGACGCUCAUGUACGAAAGCUAGGGUAGCAAAUGGUAUUAGAAA
RNAcentral lists this ribosomal RNA (279 nucleotides) under uncultured bacterium. RNAcentral describes it as "partial 16S ribosomal RNA". It matches the Rfam family "Bacterial small subunit ribosomal RNA", at positions 506 to 784 of the family's 1533-position model. The record is from RNAcentral.